RNAcentral lists this ribosomal RNA (303 nucleotides) under uncultured bacterium. RNAcentral's name for it is "partial 16S ribosomal RNA". It matches the Rfam family "Bacterial small subunit ribosomal RNA", at positions 507 to 807 of the family's 1533-position model. The record is from RNAcentral.
AGCAGUAGCCACGGGAAUACGGAGGGGGCUAGCGUUGUUCGGAAUUACUGGGCGUAAAGGGCGCGUAGGCGGCGGCCAAAGUCAGGCGUGAAAUUCCCGGGCUCAACCUGGGGGCUGCGUUUGAUACUUGGUUGCUUGAGUGGGGAAGAGGGUCGUGGAAUUCCCAGUGUAGAGGUGAAAUUCGUAGAUAUUGGGAAGAACACCGGUGGCGAAGGCGGCGACCUGGUCCUUUACUGACGCUGAGGCGCGAAAGCGUGGGGAGCAAACAGGAUUAGAGACCCGUGUAGUCCCUGUCUCUUAUAC